This is a non-coding RNA of Ceratotherium simum simum (southern white rhinoceros), 186 nucleotides long. The record is from RefSeq and is a predicted model, not a curated record. NCBI's taxonomy places the organism in Eukaryota, Metazoa, Chordata, Mammalia, Perissodactyla, Rhinocerotidae.
ACUUAUUGGUUUUUUGGAUGAUGUUGAAUUUUUGACGGGACUUUUUAAACACAAAGAAGGGAGAGUAGUCUUUAACAAAAGGGCUUCAGAAGAGAAAAAUAAGAUAGUUAAAUGAAGAGGAACUUUAUUUUGAAACCCAACAUCUAGUAGAAACUAAUAUCCUCAAUGAAGUAUUCAUUCAUUUAU